GUCUACGGCCAUGCCACUCUGAACAAGCCUGAUGUCUGAUCUGGGAAGCUAAGCAGGGUCGGGCCUGGUGAGUACUUGGAUGGGAGACCACCUAGGAAUACCAGGUGCUGUAGGCA
Molecule: ribosomal RNA, 116 nt
Filed under: Pteropus alecto (black flying fox)
Lineage: Eukaryota; Metazoa; Chordata; Mammalia; Chiroptera; Pteropodidae
Source: RNAcentral